This 307-nucleotide small nuclear RNA is filed under the name Castor canadensis (American beaver). RNAcentral's name for it is "7SK RNA (ENSCCNG00000004735.1)". It matches the Rfam family "7SK RNA". From Rfam's summary of the family: 7SK was discovered as an abundant small nuclear RNA in the mid-70s but a possible function has only recently been suggested. The record is from Rfam by way of RNAcentral. Lineage: Eukaryota; Metazoa; Chordata; Mammalia; Rodentia; Castoridae.
AGAUGUGAGGGAGAUCUGGCUGUGAUAUCUGUCACCCCACUGAUCGUCAGGGUUGAUUCAGUUGAUCUAGCUGGCUAGGCAGGUGUCCCCUUCCUCCCUUACCACUCCACGUGCAUCCCUCCCAAAGCUGCAUGCUCGUUCAAAGAAGACAACCUUCCCUGUAGUACCAUUCUUGGGUCAAAGGCAUACAAGUAGCUGUGCUCUGCUGCUAGAACCUCCAAACAAGCUCUCUAAAAACAAACUGGGCGUGGUGGUACAUGUCUGUAUCCCAGCUACACAGGAGAAGGAGGUAGGUGGAUCACAGUCU